CCGUAAUCUGGAUGAAAAUAAUUUGUACAUGAAAUUUGAUGAGAAAAAUGAGACGAACCCGGAUACGCUAUCCGUUCGUUUGUCACGCAUCCCUUUCAUAGCGAACAUAGAACUUUUCCAUCCGUUUCGCCUCUCUGUUAGUAGCCAGAGACCCGGGAAAUAUCGUCAGAUAUUUUAUCGAUCCGUCUAUAAUGAAUAAUACUGCGUUAGCUGAUGCCUAGUGCUUCUUAUUGCCACGUGUUACAUCGUGUUGCACGUGUGCUUUAUAUUUAUUGUUUCUCCCCCCUCUUCUCUCCGAUAGACGCUGAGGCUGAUGCUGCUGCCAGGUACGACUACACCUCUAACGACCAACCCUUUCCCGUAGAGCAACAAGACAAGCAACCCCCCCCCC
This 391-nucleotide long non-coding RNA is filed under the name Hordeum vulgare. RNAcentral describes it as "long non-coding RNA (HVUL_LNC021649)". The record is from RNAcentral. Lineage: Eukaryota; Viridiplantae; Streptophyta; Magnoliopsida; Poales; Poaceae.